GAUGAACGCUGGCGGCGUGCCUAAUACAUGCAAGUCGAGCGAACGGACGAGAAGCUUGCUUCUCUGAUGUUAGCGGCGGACGGGUGAGUAACACGUGGAUAACCUACCUAUAAGACUGGGAUAACUUCGGGAAACCGGAGCUAAUACCGGAUAAUAUUUUGAACCGCAUGGUUCAAAAGUGAAAGACGGUCUUGCUGUCACUUAUAGAUGGAUCCGCGCUGCAUUAGCUAGUUGGUAAGGUAACGGCUUACCAAGGCAACGAUGCAUAGCCGACCUGAGAGGGUGAUCGGCCACAUUGGAACUGAGACACGGUCCAGACUCCUACGGGAGGCAGCAGUAGGAAAUCUUCCGCAAUGGGCGAAAGCCUGACGGAGCAACGCCGCGUGAGUGAUGAAGGUCUUCGGAUCGUAAAACUCUGUUAUUAGGGAAGAACAUAUGUGUAAGUAACUGUGCACAUCUUGACGGUACCUAAUCAGAAAGCCACGGCUAACUACGU
Molecule: ribosomal RNA, 496 nt
Filed under: uncultured bacterium
Lineage: Bacteria
Description: partial 16S ribosomal RNA
Rfam family: Bacterial small subunit ribosomal RNA
Source: RNAcentral